This 678-nucleotide ribosomal RNA is filed under the name Salmonella enterica subsp. enterica serovar Kentucky. RNAcentral describes it as "partial 23S ribosomal RNA". It matches the Rfam family "Bacterial large subunit ribosomal RNA", at positions 1 to 608 of the family's 2925-position model. Lineage: Bacteria; Pseudomonadati; Pseudomonadota; Gammaproteobacteria; Enterobacterales; Enterobacteriaceae. The record is from RNAcentral.
GGGUUGUGAGGUUAAGCGACUAAGCGUACACGGUGGAUGCCCUGGCAGUCAGAGGCGAUGAAGGACGUGCUAAUCUGCGAUAAGCGCCGGUAAGGUGAUAUGAACCGUUAUAACCGGCGAUUUCCGAAUGGGGAAACCCAGUGUGACUCGUCACACUAUCAUUAACUGAAUCCAUAGGUUAAUGAGGCGAACCGGGGGAACUGAAACAUCUAAGUACCCCGAGGAAAAGAAAUCAACCGAGAUUCCCCCAGUAGCGGCGAGCGAACGGGGAGGAGCCCAGAGCCUGAAUCAGCAUGUGUGUUAGUGGAAGCGUCUGGAAAGGCGCGCGAUACAGGGUGACAGCCCCGUACACAAAAGCGCAUGUGUUGUGAGCUCGAUGAGUAGGGCGGGACACGUGGUAUCCUGUCUGAAUAUGGGGGGACCAUCCUCCAAGGCUAAAUACUCCUGACUGACCGAUAGUGAACCAGUACCGUGAGGGAAAGGCGAAAAGAACCCCGGCGAGGGGAGUGAAAAAGAACCUGAAACCGUGUACGUACAAGCAGUGGGAGCCCCACCACUAAGCCAGUGGUGAACUCCACAUACGCAUCCUUUGCUGAAGGUGCGGUUAACGGAGCGCAAGCGACGUUCAACCUCAAAAGAAGCAGAGGGGGCUUAGUGGUGGGGUGACUGCGUACCUUU